UGAACAAGAGAAAAUCUCCCCCUCAUGUCACCGCUCUGAAGAGACAGAGUCAGCGACAGUGGCGGCAGCGAGGGUGGGAAAGGGGCACUUCAGCCAUGGAGAGAACAUUGUUCUUAACAGCACUUCUUUGCCUUGGCUCGGCCUCUAAGGACCAUGCUGCCCUUGGCGUAUAUCAGACCCCGCUCUGUAUCUCUGCGGAUGUGGGGACGGAGCCCAUUAUGGAGUGCAGGUUCCCUCCCAUGGAGGCAAGUGAAAUAGUUUUUAUCUCAUGGUACAAAGAGGGAGAGACACUAAACUCAUCAGACAGCCGCCUCCUACGGUCUGUAACCCUCACAGCAGGGUCUGGUACUCUCAGGAUAUCCCAUGUGCAGACUAAGGAUGCUGGAGUCUAUACCUGUGAGAUGGGGAAUAUCACCCACAGGUCUACCGGGAAUGGCACAAAACUAGAAGUCCAUGAUUCAACCCCACCUACGAAUCAAUCUGCAAUGGAAGGAUGUGUUUGGGUUACUGCACCUCAGGAAGAGAAAGUGGCAACAUCUGUAGGCAUUAAUAUUCUGCUUCUCAGAAGCGUCGUUGGAGCGGUGCUCUUGUUGACUCUAGUGCUUGCGGUCAUCAUCGUCCAUUUCAUGUCAGAGCCAAAUAAAGACAGAGCUGAUGGGAGCCCGGUCAGGUUUCUCUGGUUGAACUCCAGCCCCUGGUUAUUCCCUGCUAUGGGCUGGUAUGACCUGGCCACCAUAGAAGGAGAGGUGAGGAGGGAAGAAACGAAGCAAGCCAGGUAAUAGAGCAGUACUUACAACAAAGACAUAUUGGAUUUAUUUUAC
Molecule: long non-coding RNA, 821 nt
Filed under: Chrysemys picta bellii (western painted turtle)
Lineage: Eukaryota; Metazoa; Chordata; Testudines; Emydidae
Description: lncRNA (ENSCPBG00000022772.1)
Source: RNAcentral